This 203-nucleotide long non-coding RNA is filed under the name Elaeis guineensis (African oil palm). Its description in RNAcentral is "long non-coding RNA (EGUI_LNC031426)". The record is from RNAcentral. Lineage: Eukaryota; Viridiplantae; Streptophyta; Magnoliopsida; Arecales; Arecaceae.
CCCACCAGCUGUCCUUUACACACACACCAUCAUUCAUUAUGCUUUUAUGAUUUUCAUAUUACUGGAUGUAAAAUUUGAAAUUAUUUACGUUACAGCCAUUAUAGCAUGUUAUGUAUUUUGUUGGCCCGUAAUCUAAUGGUCUCAACUUCUUUAGUAUGGAUUCACCCCUUACAUGACCUACGUAUUAUAAAAAGAAUAAAUUA